UGAAAUGCGAAAAUUAAUGUGAUUUGCAUGAAUCUGUGAGUCAUCAAGUCUUUGAACGCAACUUGCACUCUUUUCUAAAGAAAGAGUAUACCUGUUUGAGAAUCGAAAACACUAUUAAUUCAUGAUUAGAAUUAGACCUGAGAUUCAAUGAAAUUGUUUCUUGAAAUAUAGAGUCCUCUUGGGAACGAGGUAUUGUGUGAUAAAGACAGUCAGUCUAACUCGCAAUCACUCCUCCCUAAGCUAUUAACUUUUAUUGAUCUCAAAUCAGGUAAGAUUACCCGCUGAACUUAA
Molecule: unclassified non-coding RNA, 291 nt
Filed under: uncultured fungus
Lineage: Eukaryota; Fungi
Description: sequence contains ITS1
Rfam family: 5.8S ribosomal RNA (bases 1-105)
Source: RNAcentral